CCGCCAGCAGGCCUCUAUCACUAGCAAGUAGCAAAAAUCGAUCGUUGUCGCCGGCGUCUCCUAGUUGCCGGACCCGCACAUGGACGAGUUCAUGCAGUCACAGGAGACGAGCGACAACAUGGUCAUGUCGACGCAACCUUCUCCCACAUCAAGGGCCUCUCCAACCAAAGGGCUCGCGAUUGGGGACCGGGGGAUGCACUGGUUCAGGACGAAUGGCAACUGAAAGGCAUACAGAUGUUCAGCGAGCAGCAAUAAAUUCUUCACAUAUAUCAGACCACAAAAGGAAAUCAUACCAGGACGGAGCACACCCGCUGCAGGAAUGGAUUGGCCAGGAUUUAAUGCUUCGUUUCAGCUCGUCCCUUCUCCAGUCCCACUGUAGGCACCUGCAUAUUGAUGAUGCAAUGAUUUAUUUUUACCAUAUAAAGACAGACAAAAUGGAUAGGACCAUUUAUGCACUAACAGUUAUAUACCUGUU
This is a long non-coding RNA of Triticum aestivum (bread wheat), 475 nucleotides long. RefSeq lists it as uncharacterized. NCBI's taxonomy places the organism in Eukaryota, Viridiplantae, Streptophyta, Magnoliopsida, Poales, Poaceae. The record is from RefSeq and is a predicted model, not a curated record. The transcript has 3 exons.